ACUUUUAAAGGACAGGUAGAACUAGCCAUUGGCCUUAGAAGCCAAGCUCCUUGGUGCAACCCCAAGUAAAAGUA
RNAcentral lists this transfer RNA (74 nucleotides) under Uromastyx benti (Yemeni spiny-tailed lizard). RNAcentral's name for it is "tRNA-Leu specifying CUN codons". The record is from RNAcentral. Lineage: Eukaryota; Metazoa; Chordata; Lepidosauria; Squamata; Agamidae.